This 443-nucleotide ribosomal RNA is filed under the name uncultured bacterium. RNAcentral describes it as "bacterial SSU rRNA". It matches the Rfam family "Bacterial small subunit ribosomal RNA", at positions 29 to 457 of the family's 1533-position model. The record is from RNAcentral.
AACGAACGUUAGCGGCGCGCCUAACACAUGCAAGUCGAGCGAGAAAGGGGGCAACCCCGGUAAAGCGGCGCACGGGUGAGUAACACGUAGGUAAUCUACCUUCUGGUGGUGGAUAACCUUCCGAAAGGAGGGCUAAUACAGCAUGAGACCACGGUCCCGAGAGGGACAGGGGUCAAAGUCGGCCACUGUACACAAGCUGACGCCAGAAGAUGAGCCUGCGGCCCAUCAGCUAGUUGGUAGGGUAACGGCCUACCAAGGCGAAGACGGGUAGCUGGUCUGAGAGGAUGAUCAGCCACACUGGAACUGAGACACGGUCCAGACUCCUACGGGAGGCAGCAUGGGGAAUCUUGCGCAAUGGGCGAAAGCCUGACGCAGCGACGCCGCGUGAGUGAUGAAGGCCUUCGGGUUGUAAGGUACUCUUUUACCCGGGACUUGAUAAUGAC